GAUAUAAUAUCAAAGUUUAAUCAUUCAAGAUUAAACUCUUUUAUUUUACAUGAAUGACACAUGUCUUAAUCUAUCGAUCAGUUGUACUGCGUAUCAAUACGCAUGCUCAGUCUGAGAGCUAUAUUUAGAACACUAUAUAUAAGGAGCUGCGCGAGCCCGCUGCUUCCUUUUCGUUCUGGAACUCUAUGAGAAAGGUAGCUGCUGAUCAUAUUUUAAAAUUUUUGUUAAAAUCUUAAUCUAGGUUUUUAAUUUUGGAUGUUAAUUGUAAAAUUUUAAUGAUAAUUUUAAACCUUAACUAUCGAAGUGCUCUUUAUAUUUAAAUCUUUAUAAAUCUCGCUUUUGAUUGAAUUUUAAAUAAACGAAAAUAGAAAAUAACCACGUGGCCCUAUUUAUCCGAAAGGGACAAUGCAGUUACAAGUAUUUCAAAUUAUAGAUAGUUAAAAAAUAAGAAACGUUAACCAUUGAAUUGCUCUUUAUAUGUAUAUUUUUGUAAAUCUUGCUUUUGAUUGAAUUUUAAAUAAACGAAAAAAGAAAAUAACCACGUGGGUCUAUAUGUAUCCGAAACGCAGUACUGUUAUAACUAUCUAUCCUAAUUUAUCCUAUUAACCAAAUGCAGUUAUAACUAUUCCAAAUUAUCAAUAGUAGGUCUAUAAACAUAUAUAAACAUGGCAAGCUUUUUAGGUUGUUUGUAAUAAGACAUUUUGUUGUUUUUCUUGAUCAAAAUGCCCAAACGACGUGCGGACGAAACUGAGAGACUGGCCAGUGCUGUAAAUGAGAAAAGACGAUAGCACAGAGGACAACUGGCUCGAAUCCGAAUCAACGUCAAGAAGUUGUUCAAACUCAUGACUUUUCCCCAACUUCAGGUGAAGUAAACUUUCAAUCUAACAUUAUUUUGUCUACCCAAGUUUCUCACUCUAUUAAAGAGACAAUACGGUGUAAUAGUUAAAUAUAACUACAACAUCUUUUUCCUAUAAUUAAACCAGAUUCUGCAGGAAAACAAAAAAAUCAUUUUGAAAAUGGAGAGCUGAUCCUAUAUCUUUUCAUAUAUUCCAUACUAUAAUUAUCGCUGUACAUAUUCUAAAGCAUCCUAUCUGCUACAAUAUAUGGUAAACAUACGACAGGCAGCAACCAGGCAUAUUGGUUGAGCCGCCUACGACUCGAGCUUUAGACUGACAAAAUGAUGAUGUUAGCCACGAAACCAAUUCAAUCGGUUGGUUUUUCGAUUACCCCCCCCCCCCCCCCCCUCAUUCUCGAAAAUUAUUUUCUUGUAAUAAUAAGGGCUUUUGCGUCUAUACAAGAUCUUUUGCACAUAAGUGUAUAAAAUAGUAAGCAGAUACGACACUGAAUAUGCUUCUUCGAACGAUAUUUAAUAGAAGGCCUAAUCGUUUUCAGUCCCAGCAACUCCCCCACUGUUCCUGUAACAAGGUUCUUCUCCUUGACCAGAAUAUUUAAGGGGCCUAGGUUCAACGUCAAUUAAUAUAAGUUGACAGGUUACAAUAAAAACGAUGCUUGUUUUUUGGUUUUUUAAUUAAUCACUGGUUUAAAUUAAAUUAUACUGAUCCAAGCGCACCAAUCCAGCAGUUUUAAAUAACAAUUAUAUGAGGACAAACAUUUGGCUGGAUUGUCGGACCAUACAAAUAACCACUUAUUUCCAAUUUUCAAAUUAAUGCUGCUUGGCUCGUUCCAAAAGUCACGGGUGCCCAAUUUGUUAUUUUCACCAAGUAACAGCUUAAAUGAAUUUAUCGUACCAGUCUAUUAGCAUGUCAAAUAUGCACAAUUCGACGGAGCAUCAUUGGUUCAACGUAUAGGAAAAUAUGUCUGUUGCAAAACUGAAAAAAAAAUCAGCUUUUAACUUGUGUCCUUUUAAAUAAUAUGGCCAGGUGACUUAAAUCUGACUUACCUGGUACAUUGUAUUACCUGGUUUAAAAAAAAUAAAUAAAUAAAUAAAUAAAUGUUACCUCAGGGUUCCGCCUACCCCUGUUUCAUUUUAAAAAAUUUGUUUCUUUCUUAGAUUGCCUUGUUAAAAAAUGAUUUUUUAUGGCAAACGUUAGUUUUUGAAUCCUGUUUAGAUAUUUAACGUAUUCAAACACGUAUGUUUAGACCUUGGGGUAUCUCGAUCUGCGCAGAUCUAUUAAAAACUAUCGAUUACUCGGGGGUUGAAAUAAUUUAUGCGGAGAAAUCAAACCAUUCAUGUACCCGCAUACAAGCCAUAGACGAGCUUUGCGGUUUAUAUCUUCAAAAUGUAUACCUUUGAAGGAAAUUCAGUCUAAAGCAUGAUUACUUAACUUUAUCACAAAGGCUAUUCCUAUUGGCAGAGCUUUCUUGUGAAGAUUUUAUGAUUCUAUGUCUAAGAUUAAAAAAUAUUUUUAUUUUAUGCAUGUAAAGGGAAAUGCGCGAAUGCGCCAUGACCUGGCUCGUAAUUAUUUCUUACUGAAUCUAAUGGACUCGCAAUAUUACAUGGUAAGAAUUGGUCAGAGAAUACAUUUAUUGAACCCUACACCGAUGCGUCCGGUAGCAGUUAUUUAGGUUGUGACUGCUACUUUAAAUGUCAGUGGUGUGCCUUUAAGUGGCCAGCUUAAUGGGAGGAGCUUAUUUUUAAGGACAUCACAUAUCUUGAACUCGUGCUAUUUUUCUAGCACUCCAGUUAUGGGGCAAUGAAAUGAAAAACAAAAAGGUUAUGUUUCCGUCUUCUAAUAAAAUAUUCGUAAUCAAUAUAACACUGCCAUAUUCUCAAACUUUUGAAGUAUAAUUGGCGUAUUACCAGAUAGCGAAAUAUAGCUUUCAUGUCCUUGUAACAGUACGCUUAUAAGACUAUAAAUAGCUACACAUCUGAUAUAACGUAUGUCAAUAAGCUUGCAGAUAUGGUUGAAAACAUACGCGCACGCACGCACGCAUACACACACAAAAGAAAAAAUAUUAAGGUUAAACGUAUGCUUGAAGGUCUAAAACGGACAAGAGGGUCUAAUGACACGUCAGCCUGUAACAUAACAUAAAAAAAGUUAAUUUCAGCUUUACAAAGUUUCUGUCGCUUUCUGUAGGAAUACAUGUUAUUUGAAGCUGCAUUUUCACUCGCGUAUAUUUGUACUUCUUAGAGUAAGUGAAUCACUUGGCGGAACAAGAGGUCAUCAAAUCAUUUCCUGUCAACACAUGACAUUAUCAUGGGUUCGAAACAUGAAACAUUUGAAAACUGACCAAAGAGGUCAAGGGGCUUCUCUCGAUAUCGAAAUUAAUAAUAAUAAUAAUAAUAAUUAUGAUAAUGAUAAUAAUAAUAAACUGCUACAAGUUUUGUUAUGAUAAUAUUCACUCUUAUCUGAACUAUUGCCAACAUAAUGAUGACCCCCUUUUUUCCAUUUUGAUGGGUCUCCUCUGACGUCUUACCAGUUCAUUGUUGUUUUCAAAAAAACUGUUAAAAUUCAUUGGUCUGCAUAACAACAGGAUAGGAUGAGCUUUAGGAAUGUAUAGAGUUGGAUGUCUUAUAAAUACUAUCAAAACACAUGGUAGGUGGAGGUCUGAUACCUAUAAGUCAUAUAUAUAUUCGUUAAUUUCAGACAAUAUUAUGCAAAGUAUCUCUAUGGGUUUUCCUAAAGCCGAUGCCGGAUCAUUUAAUCGCCUUUGUGGCCUGUAAUUCUUUAAAAUGACAUUAAAUAAGUAGUUCAUAAUAUAGAAUUCUUCUCGCUAGUUCCUCUCUGUUUGCAUUUUAAGAUGUCUUUGUGCGACAUUAUUUUUCGUGUUAUCUAAUGUGUCUUAUAAUAGUUGAGUCGCGGAGCUUAAUUAGUCAAGUGAUAGCAGUUACACUUAUUUUUCUAAAUUAUAAAGAUAUUGUGAAGGAUCUGCCAAAUGCCAAAUGAUAAAGAUAAAGUUGUGUGAUGAAAUGAUAAAGAUAAAUUGUGUGAUGAAAUGAUAAAGAUAAAGUUGUGUGAUGAAAUGAUAAAGAUAAUGAUGAACUAAUAAAGAUAAUGUAGAAGUAAUAAAUGCCAAAGGAUAAAGAUAAAGUUGUGUGAUGAAAUGAUAAAGACAAUGAUGAAUGUUGAUUAGAACAUCAGAAUGUUUGUGUUGUUACGAUAAUUAUUUCUGAUUAAUGAUUAUUUGAUAAAAGAUAAUGAUGAAAUGAUGGUGAUAUCAUCAGAAUGUUUGUGUUGUUAUGAAAAUGAGUUCAGAAUUAUAAUGAUAAUACUAUAAAGAUAAUGAUGAUGAUAACAUCAUAAUGUUUGUGUUGUUAUAAAAAUGAUUUCAGAAUAAUAAUGAUAAUUUGUUGAGAUAAUGAUGAUAUGAUGAUAACGACUAAAUGAUGAUAGUCGUCGCUGUGUGAUAAUGAUAGUUUGAUAAAUAUAAUGAUGAAAUGAUAAUAUGAUUUAAGAAUGAUAAUGGUAAUUUGACAAAGAUAAUGAUAAUAAUAAUACCAGAUCGAUUCGAUGGUAUACAUAUUUAUGUAUUAUUUAUGUCAUAAUUGGUGAGGUGAUAUUUGCUAUAAGUCUAACAAACGCAAUGUCAAUUAUAAUGUUGUUAUUGGUCGGCGAUCCGCUUUUGGCAACUUAAAUGUAACAUUUGCUAUCACAGUAUAGGUAGACCGCUGGCGGAUACCUUUACCUUAAUAUUGACGAUUAAGCUCCAAAUUUCCAAGUCUCUUUAAGGUAUUGAUAAUUGGUUCCUUCUCUAUACUGGUUCCUUCAUUUUAAGCGGUGCAUAUCAGAGACUGUGUUCAACACCAGACGGUGUUAGGAAAACUAUUGCUGGGAACAUAUGGGUGGUAUGAAUAUCGAGGAUCUCGAACAAAGUAUAGCCUACUUAACUUCCUUUAAGCAGAAUGAACCCAAACCUGUAUUCGUAUUCAUUGUGGAGGCAAGGAUAUAGGCCUUAAAACAUCUGCGGCUAUUAUUGCGGAUCUCAAAAUAAUCAUAGAUAUUAUCAGAAGUAAGUUUCCAUAUACAAAACUAAUUUGGUCACAUAAUUUACCAUGGCGAUCAUGGCGUUAUAUCACGCUGACCGAGCAAGAAAACGUAUAAAACAGCUCUAUAGUCACCUAUGUAAUAAAUGGCGGGGUCACUACCUAAAAUACCGGUAUAUAAACUCUAGCCCCAAUGUUCUUUAGGUACGACGAUACACACUUGUCUCCCAGUAGCUAUAAUAUACAGUAGAAUCCCUCCUUAAGACCACCCCGGAAUUAAGACCACUCCGCUAUUAAGACCAUUUUUUAAAAGAAUGGAAUGUUCUGUUCUUUAUAUCAAUGGUUACAUGAUCCAGAAUUAAGACUACCCCGCUUAUCCACUUUUAAGACCACCAGAUUCGGUCCUAAUUCAUUGUUUUAUUCUUAAUUUGACCUCGCUAUUUAGACCACUGAUAUUAAAGUCAGCACCUACCUAGAUCUUAAAUUUGUUGUCAUCGUCUGCUUGAAUGCUCUUAUGUAUGACCUGAUGCUAAAUAAUAUUUCCGAGACCAUUUAUUCAUUCAGCCUAUCUUCCCGAUGUGAUUUAGUGACGUAAAGACAGAUUUGUCACUUUUAUCAGUAUUUGUUGUUAGUUAUUCCUAAACAAUUUAUAUAUAAAUCAGGUUUCAAUAUUAACUUCUAGAGUUUUCAACGUGGCUGGGUUUAGUCGUUAUGUUAAACCGCUUUGGCGGAAGGUACUCUCAUUCUUCGAGUCCCUUUUUGGCUGAAAUUUAACAUAACGUUUUUUCUAUUUGCGACCGUUGUCGGAGCAAAUAUGAUGUGUAUUUAAAGUUCCUAAAUUGCUUUUAUUAUUUAUACCCAGUCAUGAUGGAAAUUAUUCGCCAAAAGAAAUAAAAAAGUUAUUACAAAAUAAUGUUGUAUUUUCUUCUUGUAUAAGACUGAUUUGCGAUGUACAAUGGCCUCUCGGGUUUGAACCAGCAACCUUCAUCCAGAACACUCUUUAUUAUGCAUUCAUUGGAAAAUAAUAUCAAAGUUUAAUCAUUCAAGAUUAAACUCUUUUAUUUUACAUGAAUGACACAUGUCUUAAUCUAUCGAUCAGUUGUACUGCGUAUCAAUACGCAUGCUCAGUCUGAGAGCUAUAUUUAGAACACUAUAUAUAAGGAGCUGCGCGAGCCCGCUGCUUCCUUUUCGUUCUGGAACUCUAUGAGAAAGGUAGCUGCUGAUCAUAUUUUAAAAUUUUUGUUAAAAUCUUAAUCUAGGUUUUUAAUUUCCCGCCCUCCGCAACCCUUUUUUUCUGCUGUGCUUGUUUUACAUUUCAGGAGUCAGCUAUCACAACGGUUCGUCAUGAUUGGGACACAUGUUUUAUGCUGGGCGACGGAGUACCUAAAUAACAGUCAAUUGCUAAUCGAAUAGACAUUAGUCAAUUGCUUGAUGCAACCGUUGUCGGUGCUCUUGCAACACUAUGAUAUGAUUCAAAGGACAUCAAAAAUGUUUGUGUAAUUAUCGGACAUACAUAACACGUGAAACCGUUGUCGGUGCAUUUUAAUUGUGUUAAUUUUGCAAAAUUUCAUAUUUGACUACUCCUCUCAGCUGAAAUUUAACAUAACGUUUUUUCUAUUUGCGACCGUUGUCGGAGCAAAUAUGAUGUGUAUUUAAAGUUCCUAAAUUGCUUUUAUACCCAGUCAUGAUGGAAAUUAUUCGCCAAAAGAAAUAAAAAAGUUAUUACAAAAUAA
Molecule: long non-coding RNA, 6618 nt
Organism: Ruditapes philippinarum (Manila clam)
Lineage: Eukaryota; Metazoa; Mollusca; Bivalvia; Venerida; Veneridae
Exons: 2
Source: RefSeq, a predicted model, not a curated record